RNAcentral lists this ribosomal RNA (695 nucleotides) under Bacillus sp. SRDKS-5. RNAcentral's name for it is "bacterial SSU rRNA". It matches the Rfam family "Bacterial small subunit ribosomal RNA", at positions 48 to 725 of the family's 1533-position model. Lineage: Bacteria; Bacillati; Bacillota; Bacilli; Caryophanales; Bacillaceae. The record is from RNAcentral.
GCUAUACAUGCAAGUCGAGCGAAUGACGAGGAGCUUGCUCCUCUGAUUUAGCGGCGGACGGGUGAGUAACACGUGGGUAACCUGCCUGUAAGACGGGGAUAACUUCGGGAAACCGAAGCUAAUACCGGAUAAUAAAGAGAGACUCCUGUUUCUUUUUUGAAAGUCGGUUUCGGCUGACGCUUACAGAUGGGCCCGCGGCGCAUUAGCUAGUUGGUGAGGUAACGGCUCACCAAGGCCACGAUGCGUAGCCGACCUGAGAGGGUGAUCGGCCACACUGGGACUGAGACACGGCCCAGACUCCUACGGGAGGCAGCAGUAGGGAAUCUUCGGCAAUGGACGAAAGUCUGACCGAGCAACGCCGCGUGAGCGAUGAAGGCCUUCGGGUCGUAAAGCUCUGUUGUCAGAGAAGAACAAGUACCGGAGUAACUGCCGGUACCUUGACGGUACCUGACCAGAAAGCCACGGCUAACUACGUGCCAGCAGCCGCGGUAAUACGUAGGUGGCAAGCGUUAUCCGGAAUUAUUGGGCGUAAAGCGCGCGCAGGCGGUUCCUUAAGUCUGAUGUGAAAGCCCACGGCUCAACCGUGGAGGGUCAUUGGAAACUGGGGGAACUUGAGUGCAGGAGAGAAAAGUGGAAUUUCCACGUGUAGCGGUGAAAUGCGUAGAGAUGUGGAGGAACACCAGUGACGAUGCUGC